This is a small nucleolar RNA of Erinaceus europaeus (western European hedgehog), 84 nucleotides long. The record is from Ensembl. Lineage: Eukaryota; Metazoa; Chordata; Mammalia; Eulipotyphla; Erinaceidae.
AAGGCCGGUGGUGAGAAACAAUCACCAUCUUUCGUUUGAGCCUCACAGCCAUGAGAUCAACCCCAUGCACCGCUUUGAGACUUC